RNAcentral lists this ribosomal RNA (748 nucleotides) under Gaeumannomyces graminis. RNAcentral describes it as "partial 28S ribosomal RNA". It matches the Rfam family "Eukaryotic large subunit ribosomal RNA", at positions 76 to 854 of the family's 3401-position model. Lineage: Eukaryota; Fungi; Ascomycota; Sordariomycetes; Magnaporthales; Magnaporthaceae. The record is from RNAcentral.
UGCCCUAGUAACGGCGAGUGAAGCGGCAACAGCUCAAAUUUGAAAUCUGGCCCUAGGCCCGAGUUGUAAUUUGCAGAGGAUGCUUUUGGCAAAGCGCUUACCGAGUCCCCUGGAACGGGGCGCCACAGAGGGUGAGAGCCCCGUAUGGUAUGACGCCGAGCCUCUGUAAAGCUCCUUCGACGAGUCGAGUAGUUUGGGAAUGCUGCUCUAAAUGGGAGGUAAAUUUCUUCUAAAGCUAAAUACCGGCCAGAGACCGAUAGCGCACAAGUAGAGUGAUCGAAAGAUGAAAAGCACUUUGAAAAGAGGGUUAAAUAGCACGUGAAAUUGUUGAAAGGGAAGCGCUCGUGACCAGACUUGCGCCGGGCGGAUCAUCCAGCGUUCUCGCUGGUGCACUCCGCCCGGCUCAGGCCAGCAUCGGUUUUCGCCGGGGGACAAAAGCUUCGGGAACGUGGCUCCCUUCGGGGAGUGUUAUAGCCCGUUGUUUAAUACCCCGGCGGGGACCGAGGACCGCGCUUCGGCAAGGAUGCUGGCGUAAUGGUCAUCAGCGACCCGUCUUGAAACACGGACCGAGGAGUCAAGCAUUAGUGCGAGUGUUUGGGUGUAAAACCCGCACGCGUAAUGAAAGUGAACGUAGGUGAGAGCUUCGGCGCAUCAUCGACCGAUCCUGAUGUUUUCGGAUGGAUUUGAGUAGGAGCAUUAACGCUUGGACCCGAAAGAUGGUGAACUAUACUUGAAUAGGGUGAAGCCA